CCCUUAGAUGUUCAGGGCUGCACACGUGCUACACUGGCAGGUUCAGCGAGCUUCAUGCCCUGAUCUGAAAGGAAUGGGAAAUCUUUUCAAAACCUGCCGUGCUUGGGAUAGAUGUUUGCAAUUAUUCAUCUUCAACGAGGAUUGCCUUGUAAGCGCACGUCAUCAGCGUGCAUUGAAUACGACCCUGUAUUCUGUACACACCGCCCGUCGCUCCUACCGAUUGAAGUUUUCGGUGAGUUGACAGGAGGAUUUUUUUGAAACUGGUUCGCCAGUGGAUUUUAGAUCCAAAUGCCAACGAAUCGAUGGCUUUAGAGGAAGGAGAAGUCGUAACAA
This 333-nucleotide ribosomal RNA is filed under the name uncultured eukaryote. RNAcentral's name for it is "partial 18S ribosomal RNA". It matches the Rfam family "Eukaryotic small subunit ribosomal RNA", at positions 1470 to 1797 of the family's 1831-position model. The record is from RNAcentral.